Molecule: long non-coding RNA, 5073 nt
Organism: Columba livia (rock pigeon)
Lineage: Eukaryota; Metazoa; Chordata; Aves; Columbiformes; Columbidae
Exons: 7
Source: RefSeq, a predicted model, not a curated record
GUCGGGUUUUAAUCCUGUUUGCUGUCUGAACUGCAUUAUGUGGAUGUAUUUAAAAUCCUUACCACUCUAAAAUCUUUCAAAGAGGGAGAAAAAUAAGGGAAACUGCCAGCCCGAAAGCAAGAAAUAGUUACUUAUCAAACAUUUCAAAACAGUUUAUUGCUGCCGGUUUUAUUUUAACCCCCACGUUACACUUCAGCUUGGCUUUGCGCUUCAUUAUUUUGCUCCAUUGCAAGUGUUGGAAUCACUUGGAGUGGAAAUUUCAGGUCUUUUCCAGCUCUUCUGUUUGUGUCCAGCAGAUUCGGUCUGGAUUGUGUGUGCAGGGAAGCCACAACCCCUUGGGGUGGUGUCCCUUUGUCACCAACGCGCUCCAAGGGCAGAGGGUGCUGCCUGCCACGUGUUUGGCAUUAGGCAUCAACCAUUGCAAAAAAAAGCUAAAACCACAUCACAGAGAAAGAGUAGGGUAAUGGAGCUUCAAAGACACUCAUCUCAGCAGAGAAAAUAUGUAUUUAUGUUGUUAUUACGUUUCUCUAACUCCAGGUCCCAGAGAACCACGUUGAGAUAAGGAUCAAUUGAACUGAUGGUUGGCUAUUUCCGACACAGUGACAUCUCACCCUGUGCUGUUGCCCUGAUUCAGACCAGCUCAGAGUUUACCGCUUCCCUGAAAAUAUAAAUUGCAAAUAGGGUUUGCUCCUCCUGAGAAAAUCUGUGCUUUAGACUAGGGACUGGUUUCACAAAAAGCUAUAAGAUGCAGAAUGUCCCUGUCACUCUGCAGCAACUCAGCUGAUGGCUCAUUAUUCCAACACGUAAAUACCUGACUCCUGCAGAAGCCAAAUGUGCAUCUUGAGGUGUUGAUGGCAUCUCACUAUUAUACAAAAAAAAAAAAAUGUAUAUCUGUCUCAUUCUAGCUUGGUUAAAAAAAAAAAAAAACUCAGCAAAAGAAGGGAUUAUGUAUAAAUACAUAUAUUUGCAAGUGUCAGCCUCAAAAUAGGAAGAAAAACUUGCAGCAGUGCUGUGGGCCUGGUGGAGAUGGAAAUGAAUUGGUUUUAUGCAGCCGCUGGUCCGAGGGAAGGUAAGUGAAACAAAUGGGGGCUUUGCUGCGGGCACGUUGGUGAUGAAACCAAUUAGGGGAAGUCACGUCGCGUCCUAUGUGCCAACACGCUCCAUUAGGCUUCGGAGCAAGGCCACAUGCUUUCUGUAUAAAAAUAGUGUACAGGCAGCAUUAGUUAAUCGAGGGGCAAAAUGGUGAAACCACUUUCUUUUGCAGUUCCUGUGUUUUCUUUCCUCCUUCUUCCUAAAUCAGCAAUUCAUCUCACUCAGGGUCUGUCAUGGGAAGGGGAUGAUGAUUUAGAGGAUCAGUACUGCUCCAGGGGUGCAGGAGCUCGGGAAAAACAUUUGGGCAGGGUUCUUAUUUGCAGCUACUUUGAGGUCUCUGAAAUAAGCAGCGCUUUUCCAGCCUCCUUUUUUGACCGCCACACCUUGGCUACGCUUCCACCUGCAUCCCACUUCAACACCACCAUGCACUGCACAAGUUUAUGGAUGGGAACUGGAGGGUGUUCUUGUAUAUAGCUGACUGAAAGGUCACGUUAAAGGAUGUGUUUGAAGCCUUCCCUGAUGCAGCUGUAACCACCUGAAAGCUUAUGGCCAGCCAGCAUCUGCAUCACAAACCAGAAAGCUUGAGUCUAUUGUUGCUCUAUUUAUAUUUCUCUUUGGUCCCCCUAAAGAGGAGGGAUUUGCAGAUGCUGUAUCUGCUCUGCCCUGGAACAGGUAACAGGGACUGUCACAGCUGAGCCAAAAUCAGAAACAAGGCAAGCUCACCCCCCAGCCACCCCAUCUAUCAGCCUCCACCUUGGCUUAACAAGGACCAGCUCUGCGAUUAGAGCAGGGCAGAUUGAAUUUGCUCGGGCUGCGGUUGUGACGGAUGUUUCCUAGCAGCCGGAUGGUGCAUGUGGUUCUGAACAUUUGUGUUAAUAAUGAUGAUGAGUACUGGAAAUAUGGCUCUUCAGGAAAUAAAGAUCACAUCAGCCCAAACACCAUGUAAGCUUCAUUUCUUUCACAAGGCAGACUACUCGGGCAUGAAAUACUGUCACUCUUUACCCUGUGGAUGACUGAUUCCAGACUUGACCUAGUGCAAGCCAGUGUAAGUAAACACAUUUCCUCCAUAGCUCUAGUAAAUGAUCUAAGCAAUCUGAGAAUGAGGAGAGAAGGGAAAAUAGUGUCCUGGUGCUGCUGGAUGAGUUUAAUAUAUUUUUCUUCUUGUGUUUAGCAGGUUGUUUGUAUGGGGAUGGCGAAGGCUGCAUCCAUCAACGCACGAUGACGUCUGGCUCUGUGGGAAGGGGCAUUGAGGGGACUGAAGCUAUAUUACGAUUUCAACACAUCUGCAGCAAAUAGAGAUUUCUACUGGACAGGCAUGCUGCAGUCGGGCUUUACAAAUUUCCGCAGAAUCUCUUGGGAGCAGCAAGAGCCUCUGAAGAAGCAAUAUUUGGACGGGAAACUUAUGUCCUCCAAGCUGGCAGGUUGCAACACUGACACAGAUUUUCUUGUAGCUGCAGAGCUCUUUGUAUAAAGGGCUGCAGGAAACAUCCCUGGCGGAUUUGGCAGGCGGGAGAGUUUCCUGGGGAAAACAAGGCGCCGCAGCCCCGGUGCCAGCUCCACCCCCGGGAACCCCGGCACCAGCCGAAUCUGAGAGGAAAAGAGACAUUUUUAAGGAUAUUUCCUUGGGUUUGCAAAGAACAGGAGCUGGAUAAAGACCCAAGUUAGAGACUCUGUCCUUGCUCAAACCCUGGCUGCCCGUGAGCACCUAUAGCUGCCACCUGGUUAUAUACGUAGGGAGCCCAGGAUGGGAAAAGGCUUCUCUGGGCCAGUGUCUCUACAAGGAACAGAGAUGGAAAGAGUGGAGACAGCUGUCCCUCUGUCCCCUGCAAGCGGAGCUGUCAGCAGUCUCGGGAGGAUGUUAAAACAGGAGGAGAAAGGCAGAUCCUGGUGGGUCUCCAUGGGGAAGCCCAGGGAUCAUCCAUAACAGCCUUUGGCUCGGUCUGAAAGGAAGCACUGAAGGCAUUGUGAAGUGUCAAAGUGAAGACGCUUCUCAAAACACCCCUGUGGACUUAUUAACUUCAAUAUUGGAUCUUCUGUCUUUUCCAGCAGGUUCCCAGCUCUAGGCGUGCAGCCAGCUUGGCUGUAGGUCUGUUUAUUUUGCAGCUAAUGUAGCAGCAGCAUCAAUUCCAGCUAACAAAUCUGGGAAUGUCAGAAAAAUGAUAUCCGGGUCCCGUAGAUAAUUUGUGACAUACACCUGGUAAACAGUUGUUAGUAGGACAAUUAAUCCAGCUCUAUGGCAGAGGAAUAUGAAUGCCUUGCAGAAGUGGACACGAAUUGUGGAAAACCUAUCAUCAGAGCAAUAAAAGCACAUGUGCCCUGUUGAUCAUCGCUGGGCACUGCUGGAUGGGAAAAUUGCACUUGGAAACAAGGCAAUGCACACAAAAACUCGUCUGUAAGUGUUCCCUGCAGUACCUCUGCCUGUAGGACUGUAAGUGGCAUCUGACUGCUGCUCAUCUGGCACUGUGCUGCAAAUGAGUUUGAAAUGUGACUGUCCAAACUGAACCACCAGCACUUGUUACCAACCCCAUUAAGCUUUAAACAGCACUUGGGCCUUGCUCCUUGCUCAUCCAUGCUGGGCUCGGGUUAUUUAACACAUGGGCUCUGACAUAUGUGGACCAGCUGGACCAUGAACUGCCAGGGACCCAAAAACUGGGACCUGCAGCCCCAGCCCUGCCAGGUGGCACCAACCAGGAGGUUCCUCCUGUUGGGAGAGGAACAAAAAAUCCAGCAAAAAAAGGCAGGAGUAGGCUAAGAACUAAAGAAAAUAAAUUUAAAAAUUUAUAGGUUUUGCCUUUUCCAAUAGCUUGAAUGAGAUUUCAGUGGGUGCCGCUUUUCUGUGGUCCCUGUGAGUGCUGGGUUCUGCAUGUUGGUGCUUGCCGUGCACAAACUCUUCCCUUUCAUCCUUUCAUCUUCUUGCCUCUCUCUUAUUUCUAAAUAUGCAAAUACAUCAGAGGAGCGUUUCAAACUCCUGGCUACAAAUAGAUCUGAAGGGCCUUUGAGCUCUUGAGAGGCUCCUGCCUUACUCAGAAAAAGAAUGUAUGGAUGCUGUGCAUUCCCUCUGCAGCACCUCCUGGCCGGAUCCAGCGUGAGGUCCAGUCCUGGCUCCCCUUUCCACCCUUCCCUGAGGUAACAAAGCACUGUGAAGCUGUUUUCACCGCGCCUGGAAGAGUUUUCAUCUCAGAGAGGAGGAAAAGAGCAGGACCCCAGCAAACAAGAGGCACUUGGGUCUGGGAUUUCAGGUGCAAACUGUGAAUAUUACCAUGAAGGUCAAUGAAGCCAAAUGUGUAUAAAAGCAAAGGAGGGAGAGAAAAGAGAUCCUGCUUUUGGGGAUAUGCUGUUGAUGACUAGGAAAAGGUGCUGUUUCUGGUACCACUGUGGAAAACACGGGGAGUUUCUUCUGUUCUGAGGUCUGUGACACCCAAGCUGAAUUCAGCUUCCAUGGUCCCAGCAACUUAAGGUGCAGCUGAUCUCAGCAUUGGUAAUUUUUGCAUGAAAUAAACUCUUACUGCUCAUUUUCUGCACCUCUCAAAUCUGUGUUGAGCCCUGGGAGCUCCAGCUACACCAUGGAGCAUCCUGAGCUGCAUCAACCGCCUGCUGCCUUGUGUCACAGGGUUCAGAGGAAGCUGCUCAGUUUAUUCUCAGCCAUUUGUCCCCACUGAGCCUCAGCCUGGGGUCACCGUGCUGCAAAUUUCCUGGUUCUGCUGAAUGUUGUGCUCUGGGAUCCCAGGACCUGGCAAAGGCCCUGGGUCAGCUCAUCGCUACAGGCAUCCCAUCUCCUGCUCCAGUAAAAACCAGUACCAGAGGACUUCGGAAGAAACCUUUUGCAAUGAGCAAUCAAGGGGGAAAAUCCUCUUGUGGAGCCUCUGCUAAUUGUGAGCACGUGGCAAGCGACUUGUAUUAAAUCAUUCAAUAAUCAUUAAGAGAAGAUCUGCAUUACGUUUCUCACCUCUGGAAAAGGCGGAUGACGCCAUUCACCUGCGU